This 429-nucleotide ribosomal RNA is filed under the name Chloroflexota bacterium. Its description in RNAcentral is "Chloroflexi bacterium partial 16S ribosomal RNA". It matches the Rfam family "Bacterial small subunit ribosomal RNA", at positions 355 to 776 of the family's 1533-position model. The record is from RNAcentral. Lineage: Bacteria; Bacillati; Chloroflexota.
UGGGGAAUAUUGCACAAUGGGCGCAAGCCUGAUGCAGCCAUGCCGCGUGUGUGAAGAAGGCCUUCGGGUUGUAAAGCACUUUCAGCGGGGAGGAAGGCGAUAAGGUUAAUAACCUUGUCGAUUGACGUUACCCGCAGAAGAAGCACCGGCUAACUCCGUGCCAGCAGCCGCGGUAAUACGGAGGGUGCAAGCGUUAAUCGGAAUUACUGGGCGUAAAGCGCACGCAGGCGGUCUGUCAAGUCGGAUGUGAAAUCCCCGGGCUUAACCUGGGAACUGCAUUCGCAACUGGCAUGCUAGAGUCUUGUAGAGGGGGGUAUAAUUCCAGGUGUAGCGGUGAAAUGCGUAGAGAUCUGGAGGAAUACCGGUGGCGGAGGCGGCCCCCUGGACAAAGACUGACGCUCAGGUGCGAAAGCGUGGGGAGCAAACAGG